This 3081-nucleotide long non-coding RNA is filed under the name Brassica napus (rape). RNAcentral describes it as "long non-coding RNA (BNAP_LNC016873)". The record is from RNAcentral. Lineage: Eukaryota; Viridiplantae; Streptophyta; Magnoliopsida; Brassicales; Brassicaceae.
CUAACACCGCUUUCUUCUCUUCUUCUCCCUCAGCUUUUAGGAUACUUUUUAGAGAGGGAAACCACUUCAUUCAUGUUCAAUGUCAUCACAUAGAAAACAUACGAUUAUCUCAUGACAUGAAACUAUUAAUAAAACUUGUGGAUCAGGUAAAAGGGGGGGAACCUUUUCGUCAAUGUAGGCCGCCCAGAACCGAGCGAUGGCUCGAUCAUAAGGAGUGGAAGGUAGCAUGGACGGUCCAGAUGCGCUCCAAGUCUCAUCAACAUACUCAACGAUGAUGUUAGACUCACAAACCGGUUUGUCAGCAUGAAGGAGAACCGGAAUCUUCUUGUGAACCGGGUUUGAUUUAAGAAGCAACUCGCUCUUUGCUCCAAACGUCUCCUGGAGGAACUCGUAGGGAACAGACUUGAGGUUCAGAGCGAUCCUCGGCCUCAUCACAAAAGGACUCGCCCAUGCGCCGAUCACCUUCACUUCAUCGGUAGCCAUUUUCUCUUCAAGAUCAAGAACAGAGAGAAGGACUUGGUUAAACACGUUGAAGCUUUAGUGGUAAAUCGUAGGGCAUUAUAUGGAAGGGAAGAGGGGGUAGGUAAGGUCGUAACGUAAGGCUUUCGGAAUUUCAUGGAGGUGAAGAAGCACCAGUAAAGUUUGACAUGUGUCUUAUACGGUUGGGAAAACGUUUAAAUGUUGGUCCAUCACUUUAUUAGGGGCGAGCGUUACAUAUUCACAUUGUUAGGAUGCGUGGUGUGAACUGAAACCAUUAACACACCGACAACUGUGUUCAUCUUCACGUGUUCACAUUUGUAUUUCAUGCAUAGAUAGCUUUCUCUCAAUGGGACCAUUUAAGAUCUUUGUACUUAUAUAAUUAAGUUAAUAUAUGUCUUGUUUUGACGAGUUACGAUAUUGAUAUAUAUUGUGAAACAAGUGAAACUAUAUUUAAAGGAUAGUUACGUUACAUACAAUUAAUUAUACAAAUCUACCAUUCGAGUAAAUUCACUUAUCCAAACACACAUGUCAUAUUCUCAUUUAGUAUUGAUAAAUAAUAAUAAUCAUUUUUAGUUGCUCUGUAUAUACGUACAUUUAAUAUUUGUGUUGGCUAGUCAUGUUUUCUGUAUUUGUACUGAGUGCAUUUUUUAAAUAAUUUAGAGCAUUUCCAAAAAUGAACUUCAAAAUUUUAAAUUUGGAGUUUUGAAUAGUGAUUCAUAUUUUUAUUUAUAUUUUGGUCUUUAUAAUUAAUUGUACAUCAUAUUUAUGAUUUUUAAGUAUUUUUUCAUUUAUAUUUUUAAUCUUUAAAACUUUUGUAUAUCAUAAAUAUUUCAAAUUUAUUUUAAUAAAUUCAAAAUUUUACACAUAAAAUUAAAUAAAAAUUUUAAAAUAAGGUUUGUAAUAUUCUUAGGAGAAAGCAACACAAGUUAAUAUACUUAUGUUUCUCUUGCACCAUCAACACAGAAUCAACGAACCCCAAGUUCUACUUAAUUAGGAUCUUUUGUGUCUUUGACAUCCAUUAUUAUUAAAAAAAUGUUAAAAAAAUACAUCAUUCGUAGAGAAACAAAAUGUUAAAUAAAUUAUUUAGAAAAUCUUAUAUGAUAACUUCUUUUCAUAUUUAUUUUCUUCUUUAUAUUAUUUUGAUUAUAAAAUAUUCAUAUUAGAUGUUCUUUUUUUUUUUUUUGGAACACAAACUUUCAUUCAAACUUAAACUCCAAAAUGAGAGUUCAUUACAGCAACUGCAGAGAGCAGAGCAUUCUUUGCUACUGAAUCAGAGAUAUUGUUUUUGUCCCUAGGGAUCCAACUGAAGUAAACAGCAUCAAGAAGGGAACUUAGAACUAAGAUAUCAGCAACUAAACCAUAAAUCUCUGGUGGGGGGGUGUCCUCCAUUGACUGCUUGGAUUAAUUGUCUAGAGUCCGAUUCAAAGUGAAGUCUUCGGCGGUUCAGAGAAAAACUCAUAGUGAUAGCUUCCCGUAGAGCCAGUGCUUCUUAGUUUUCACUUUUCAGUGCUGGAUUUUAUGAGACAUCAUUUUCUUACUUCUCAAUCAACAUAAAAAAAAUUACUUCAUUCACCAAGACUGAUACUACAAACUUAACAUUCAAAAUACACUUACCAACAUACCAAAAGUAAAAUUAAAACAUAAAUAAAUAAGUACCAUCACUCUCAUUUUAUUUUUUCAAGAACUCAACCCACAGUUCCACGAGGACCACAGCCAUCAGCUUAGGCCGGCGGCUUGGCAAAGAUCUUCUUAGCGAACUCAGCUAGAGUUGCAGUCUCGGGCAUGACAGGUUUCACAGCAGGAUCAUUACAGAACCUGUCAGCCCAUUUGGACAGAGAAGGAGUCUUGACCUCAUCGAUAAGUUUAUGACCACCUGCCAACUCGGUGACUCUCAACCAAGCCAAGAAGCACCCGAAUGCAAUGUCGAGGUAACCGAUGUGUUCACCGUUGAAGAACGCUUUUCCUUUGCUGCAAUCGUUGAAGGCCUUCUCGAGAAGCGCGUUCCCUUCUUCCACUUGAGCUAACACCGCUUUCUUCUCUUCUUCUCCCUCAGCUUUUAGGAUACUUUUUAGAGAGGGAAACCACUUCAUUCGUGUUCAAUGUCAUCACAUAGAAAACAUACGCUUAUCUCAUGACAUGAAACUAUAAAUAAAACUUGUGGAUCAGGUAAAAGAGGGGGAACCUUUUCGUCAAUGUAGGCCGCCCAGAACCGAGCGAUGGCUCGAUCAUAAGGAGUGGAAGGUAGCAUGGACGGUCCAGAUGCGCUCCAAGUCUCAUCAACAUACUCAACGAUGAUGUUAGACUCACAAACCGGUUUGUCAGCAUGAAUCAGAACGGGAAUCUUCUUGUGAACCGGGUUUGAUUUAAGAAGCAACUCGCUCUUUGCUCCAAACGUCUCCUGGAGGAACUCAUAGGGAACAGACUUGAGGUUCAGAGCAAUCCUCGGCCUCAUCACAAAAGGACUCGCCCAUGCGCCGAUCACCUUCACUUCGUCGCUAGCCAUUUUCUCUUCAAGAUCAAGAACGGAGGAGGACUUGGUUUAAUGCGUUGAAGCUUUAGUGGUAGAUCGUAGGGCAUUAUAUGGAAGCGAAGAGGGGGUAG